Molecule: ribosomal RNA, 968 nt
Filed under: Salmonella enterica
Lineage: Bacteria; Pseudomonadati; Pseudomonadota; Gammaproteobacteria; Enterobacterales; Enterobacteriaceae
Also listed under: 1 other name
Description: partial 23S ribosomal RNA
Rfam family: Bacterial large subunit ribosomal RNA
Source: RNAcentral
CCAUGGGCAGGUUGAAGGUUGGGUAACACUAACUGGAGGACCGAACCGACUAAUGUUGAAAAAUUAGCGGAUGACCUGUGGCUGGGGGUGAAAGGCCAAUCAAACCGGGAGAUAGCUGGUUCUCCCCGAAAGCUAUUUAGGUAGCGCCUCGUGAAUUCAUCUCCGGGGGUAGAGCACUGUUUCGGCUAGGGGGCCAUCCCGGCUUACCAACCCGAUGCAAACUGCGAAUACCGGAGAAUGUUAUCACGGGAGACACACGGCGGGUGCUAACGUCCGUCGUGAAGAGGGAAACAACCCAGACCGCCAGCUAAGGUCCCAAAGUCAUGGUUAAGUGGGAAACGAUGUGGGAAGGCCCAGACAGCCAGGAUGUUGGCUUAGAAGCAGCCAUCAUUUAAAGAAAGCGUAAUAGCUCACUGGUCGAGUCGGCCUGCGCGGAAGAUGUAACGGGGCUAAACCAUGCACCGAAGCUGCGGCAGCGAACGUAUCACCCAAGACAACUUUACGGAGUUGACGAUUGACGGAGCGAAGCGACGUCAAAGCGUUCAUUAAAGUCGAGUUGGCUUAGGGAUACGUUCGUUGGGUAGGGGAGCGUUCUGUAAGCCUGUGAAGGUGUGUCGUGAGGCAUGCUGGAGGUAUCAGAAGUGCGAAUGCUGACAUAAGUAACGAUAAAGCGGGUGAAAAGCCCGCUCGCCGGAAGACCAAGGGUUCCUGUCCAACGUUAAUCGGGGCAGGGUGAGUCGACCCCUAAGGCGAGGCCGAAAGGCGUAGUCGAUGGGAAACGGGUUAAUAUUCCCGUACUUGGUGUUACUGCGAAGGGGGGACGGAGAAGGCUAUGUUGGCCGGGCGACGGUUGUCCCGGUUUAAGCGUGUAGGUGUGUGUUCCAGGUAAAUCCGGUUCACUUUAACACUGAGGCGUGACGACGAGGCACUACGGUGCUGAAGCAACAAAUGCCCUGCUUCCAGGAAAA